Molecule: non-coding RNA, 48 nt
Filed under: Schistosoma curassoni
Lineage: Eukaryota; Metazoa; Platyhelminthes; Trematoda; Strigeidida; Schistosomatidae
Source: RNAcentral
AUUCAACUGGUGAGUCGAAAAUAGGACGAAACGCGCGUUAAACUGGAU